Molecule: long non-coding RNA, 204 nt
Organism: Lingula anatina
Lineage: Eukaryota; Metazoa; Brachiopoda; Lingulata; Lingulida; Lingulidae
Source: RefSeq, a predicted model, not a curated record
UUCUGUGACGUCAGGACAUCUGAGGACCAUUUCACCAAUGUAACAGUAACGACCCAAUGUGACAAGUGCCUCGGGUUCCCCUGUUUCUGUGACGGUAAAGGAUGGCAGUGUCAAUGUGGGGCAGGCUACACCAUCGACAGUAAAACCCUGGGUUGCGUUGAUGUGGAUGAAUGCAAAGCUUCAGACCCGUGUCCUCCGAAUUCC